CUCUCCGCCUCCUCCUUUAAAAAANAAGGUUGCGGGUAGAAGCGUGACAGGAGUUCGACCCUCUUGCGGGCGCACGGACUGACUCCGUGGCCCAUGCAGUUUUGAGGUNGUNUUNGUUGGUCGCGCAAGGCCCGUAGGAGUUGUUGGCGGUUGGCGGCGAGUAGAUCGGUCACCCACCCGACCCGUCUUGAAACACGGACCAAGGAGUCUAACAUGUAUGCGAGUCAAUGGGACUCGAAUAAGCCCAAAGGCGCAAUGAAAGCAAAGGCAUCGGAUGACACCGAUGCCGUGUUGGGAUCCCUGCUCCUUAUGCGGGCGGGGCGCACCAACGACCCGUCCUCUUCCACUGUUGGAUUGGGCGGAGUCUGAGCAUACACGUUGGGACCCGAAAGAUGGUGAACUAUGCCCGGACAGGACGAGGCCAGAGGAAACUCUGGUGGAGGUCCGCAGCGG
This 453-nucleotide ribosomal RNA is filed under the name Pimoa edenticulata. RNAcentral describes it as "partial large subunit ribosomal RNA". It matches the Rfam family "Eukaryotic large subunit ribosomal RNA", at positions 494 to 883 of the family's 3401-position model. Lineage: Eukaryota; Metazoa; Arthropoda; Arachnida; Araneae; Pimoidae. The record is from RNAcentral.